Molecule: unclassified non-coding RNA, 283 nt
Filed under: Hevea brasiliensis (rubber tree)
Lineage: Eukaryota; Viridiplantae; Streptophyta; Magnoliopsida; Malpighiales; Euphorbiaceae
Source: RNAcentral
CUGCUAUCUCGCCGCAACCGCGGUGACGAUGGCGGCGGCGCACAAGGUUCCUCCCGCACUCGGGUUCAUCCUGAUGCUGGUGUCGGUGGCGCUGAUUGCCGCUGUCGUCGGCCUCCUCAUGGAGCGCGGACUGAUCAAGCUGUUCUACGGCCGCGAUGAAGUCGUGCUGCUGCUCGUGACCUACGCUGUAUUCCUGAUCUUCGAGGACGCGACCAAGCUGAUCUGGGGCGUCAAUCCGAUCUACGCGAAUCAGCCCUAUGAGCUGUUCGGCAAUGCCGAGUUA